GAAGCUGGAAUCGCUAGUAAUCGCGAAUCAGCAUGUCGCGGUGAAUACGUUCCCGGGUCUUGUACACACCGCCCGUCACACCAUGGGAGUUGGAAAUGCCCGAAGUCAGUGACCCAACCGAAAGGAGGGAGCUGCCGAAGGCAGGUUCGAUAACUGGGGUGAAGUCGUAACAAGGUAAC
RNAcentral lists this ribosomal RNA (179 nucleotides) under uncultured bacterium. RNAcentral describes it as "partial 16S ribosomal RNA". It matches the Rfam family "Bacterial small subunit ribosomal RNA", at positions 1322 to 1500 of the family's 1533-position model. The record is from RNAcentral.